Molecule: ribosomal RNA, 254 nt
Filed under: uncultured Blastopirellula sp.
Lineage: Bacteria; Pseudomonadati; Planctomycetota; Planctomycetia; Pirellulales; Pirellulaceae
Description: partial 16S ribosomal RNA
Rfam family: Bacterial small subunit ribosomal RNA
Source: RNAcentral
GACGAACCGUACAAACGUUAUUCGGAAUCACUGGGCUUAAAGGGUGCGUAGGCGGCCCGGAAAGUUGGGUGUGAAAUACCUCGGCUCAACCGAGGAACGGCGCUCAAAACUACCGGGCUUGAGGAAGACAGAGGUGAGCGGAACUACGGGUGGAGCGGUGAAAUGCGUUGAUAUCCGUAGGAACACCGGUAGCGAAAGCGGCUCACUGGGUCUUAUCUGACGCUGAGUGCACGAAAGCUAGGGGAGCGAACGGG